GUGCCCUCUUCUAAGCUCUUUAUCAUCAUAAUUUCUGAUGUAAAGAGCAUGAUGCCAUGGACAAAAUGGGCCCUCAGUGACUAUCCGAUGCAGGGCCAGGCACUGAAUGCAGAUCACUCAUUCUAGGGAAAAGCCAUGCCCUGGAGACACUCAAGCAGUCCUAUGGAGAGGUCCACAGGGCAAGGAACAGCAGCUUCCUGCCAGCAGCCAGGAGGCCUUGUGAGCCAUGCAAGUCAAUCAUCUUGGAAGUGGAUCCCACAGCCACAGUCAAGCCUUCAGAUGAGAUGGGAGCCCCAGCCAACAUCUUGACUGCAACUUCACAAAAGACUUCAUGCCAAAAACAUCUAGCUAAGCCACUCUCAAGUUCCUGAUCCACAGAAACUGGAUCAGAUCAUCCAUGUUUAUUGUUGUGUUAAACUGCUGAGUUCUGGGAUCAUUUGUUACAGUGGAUAGCUAAUACCGGGGCCUGUGACUAAAUCUGGAGCCACAACCCCCAAUAGGGCAUCAAACCCACAGCGGUGGCCCAGUCAGUGCCCACAGCAGUGAGUGGGGUGAGGAGAUGAGACAUAGGGACCCAGGCAGGGCAUCAACAGGUCCUGCCAUAGCUGGAGCUCCGAAUGACACUCAGAGCAGGCCUGGCUGUGUAGGGCAUGGGCAGGUUCUGGGUUGUUCAGUAUUUCCAGGAAAGGCAGUGAGAGGGAAUUGGUCAUCCUUGUUCCUGGCUCUACCCCCAUAGAUACAGCUAUGUGGCUCAUCUAGGGCAGCAGGCAGGUCAGGGUAGAAGUAAGCACAAGGAGGCAUUUACCUCACCUGGUCUCAAACUCCUGUCUCCCACUUAUUAUCUGGGUUAUCCUACACAAGUGACCUUCACUCUCUUUGCCUCAGUUUCUCAUCUGUGAAAUGGUGAUAAUAAACCCUACUUUGUGGGGUAAUACUCUCACGGUGUGGUAGAGCCUCGUUACACGAAAAUCAGAUGAUAAAAUAAAUAUGCAGCAUCACACAAAGUCGGAGCCCCUUAAGCUGUGGCACCACCCAGCCCCUGGAGCCAAGAGAACAGGUUUAGCUGUGGGUCUGCUUUUCUUUGCCUUCUGACUCCCACGUGGCCCAUAUCCCUAAGGGCAGAAUCAAUUUGUACCGAAGCUUAAGAGGAAAUAUUUCUAAAAGCACCCUGGUUAUUUCUGAUUCAUAUCAAUCUUCCAACUUGUUUGCAGACUAAAACUUGGCCUUGACUUCAUUCCAUUCUCAUGACAACCCUGGUUGCUCACUGAGGCAUGUUUGCUUUGCUUACCUAAGCCUCAGUCUCCUCAUCUGUGAAACGGCGCUAGCAACUCUACUGGAUCCAUUUGGUUGUUGGGUUGGGUUGGGUUAAAUGAAGUCUCAGGGGAAUGGGCCUAGUAGGCUCUCCUCAAAUGCUUAGGAUAACUAUGGCAAUGAAAAUUUCACCAGGGCCUGCAACACUAAAUACACUCUUGUAGCACAAAAUGUAAACAACAUGGGGAUCCUGACUUCUUUUAUAGAAUAAGUCUAUGCUCUUUUUGAGGCCUUCUCCUUGAAUAACUGACUGUUGGAAACCCCAGGAAAUUCUGACAUGAGGCAAGAGUCUGUCUUCCUCCCUGAUCACUUGCUGCAUCAUUCCGUCCAGUGUUCACCUCUGUACCCACUAGUACACCUCCCACAUCAGUGCCCACUGCAUGUAGGUGAAGAACCUAUGGGAUGGAUGGAUGGACUGGUUAGUAGAUGGAUAGAUGGGUAGAUAAGUGGGUGCCUGAGUGUGUGGAUGGAUGUGUGAGUAGAUAAGUGGAUGCGGAUAGAUGGAUGGGUGAACAGAUGGGUAAGUAGGUGGAUGGGUGGGUGAGUGAGUUGAAGAAGGAAGGAAGGAAGGAAGAUUUCAGCUCUCCUUCACUCCAGGCCCCAUGCCAGACCUCACCCUAUUCCUUCCUUGGGGCUCAGUAUAUACAGAGAGAAUUCCUCUCCUGCAGGGAGAGAGGAGAGAGAGA
Molecule: long non-coding RNA, 1997 nt
Filed under: Homo sapiens (human)
Lineage: Eukaryota; Metazoa; Chordata; Mammalia; Primates; Hominidae
Description: HSALNT0365068
Source: RNAcentral